Molecule: ribosomal RNA, 419 nt
Filed under: Enterococcus faecium
Lineage: Bacteria; Bacillati; Bacillota; Bacilli; Lactobacillales; Enterococcaceae
Description: bacterial SSU rRNA
Rfam family: Bacterial small subunit ribosomal RNA
Source: RNAcentral
CGGCGUGCCUAAUACAUGCAAGUCGUACGCUUCUUUUUCCACCGGAGCUUGCUCCACCGGAAAAAGAAGAGUGGCGAACGGGUGAGUAACACGUGGGUAACCUGCCCAUCAGAAGGGGAUAACACUUGGAAACAGGUGCUAAUACCGUAUAACAAUCGAAACCGCAUGGUUUUGAUUUGAAAGGCGCUUUCGGGUGUCGCUGAUGGAUGGACCCGCGGUGCAUUAGCUAGUUGGUGAGGUAACGGCUCACCAAGGCCACGAUGCAUAGCCGACCUGAGAGGGUGAUCGGCCACAUUGGGACUGAGACACGGCCCAAACUCCUACGGGAGGCAGCAGUAGGGAAUCUUCGGCAAUGGACGAAAGUCUGACCGAGCAACGCCGCGUGAGUGAAGAAGGUUUUCGGAUCGUAAAACUCUGUU